Paramuricea clavata is the source of this 300-nucleotide non-coding RNA. The record is from the annotation of a GenBank genome assembly. Lineage: Eukaryota; Metazoa; Cnidaria; Anthozoa; Malacalcyonacea; Plexauridae.
CUCUGGCUAAGUCGACAAUUUCAUCUGCAUGACAUUAAAACUGGAAACAGAUCCAUCAAUAAUAUAACACCAAAAGGACAAUCAUCAGACUGACAACAAAAACAACCGCUCUUAUCCGAGAGAGUGGUUUCCCGCCUGAGCCCCCAAUUGUUACUUGGGGGGCAAGAGCGAACAAAAAUGUAUGUCUCCAUCUUCAUCUUGUUUACGCUUGUUGCCCUCCUUGACCAGACACAGCGACACGCGCUGGCCAAGGAGGCUUUCUUGUAUUUGUAAUAUCCUUCUUCUAAGUCUUAUAAACUU